UACGUAGGUGGCAAGCGUUGUCCGGAAUUAUUGGGCGUAAAGCGCGCGCAGGCGGUCCUUUAAGUCUGAUGUGAAAUCCCACGGCUCAACCGUGGAAGGUCAUUGGAAACUGGGGGACUUGAGUACAGAAGAGGAAAGUGGAAUUCCGAGUGUAGCGGUGAAAUGCGUAGAGAUUUGGAGGAACACCAGUGGCGAAGGCGACUUUCUGGUCUGUAACUGACGCUGAGGCGCGAAAGCGUGGGGAGCAAACAGG
Molecule: ribosomal RNA, 253 nt
Filed under: uncultured bacterium
Lineage: Bacteria
Description: partial 16S ribosomal RNA
Rfam family: Bacterial small subunit ribosomal RNA
Source: RNAcentral